GAACUGUGGUUCCAAAUCUUCUCAAACUGCCAGAAUUUUGCUGAGCUCAGCACAAGAGUGGGUGAUCAAGCAGGACAGGACACCCUGCCCCUGCCAAAGCCUCCACUAAUUUCUCUCAACCUCCUUACAGUGUUGACUCCAGAAUUUGCUCUUAAAGGGCUGCUUCAUCCAGAGGAUAAAUGUUCCAAUGACCAGACAGUGAGGCUGACCUCGUUAGGAGUUUGCCAGGGAAGAAGGAGGGAAGAUAGCAGAGCUCCUGCAGGCUCAGACUGAAGAGCUGAAGUCUCUAAACUGCCACAACCUUCUCCCCAUCCCCGAUGCUGAGCCCACACGAGGCUGCGAGAUCCACACACAAACCCAACCUGCAUUCUCUGCCCCGUGACUACCAAGGGCUGUGUCUGUCUGGCUGCAAUCUCAGUUCAGUCUCUCGCUACGUAAUGAAUUAAGAGAGCCUUUAAUUAUAUGCUCACGUGGUAUUUUUUCCAUGGAGCUAUCUCAGCCAGCCCACAGGACAGACCUGCUCCGGCGAUGAAUCACGGCGGGGCAGCACCAGGAGGUUGUUGUCUGCCCUGCUGCUGAGGGAGGAAAACGUGGAAUGCAAAGGCUGGCUGUCAGGCAGGGAGAAGGGGGUGUUGGUUAGGUUGGAUGUUGCCCCAAAGACUCGCUGUUUGAUACCAGGCACGUUGCUUAAACACAGUAUUUAAAGGACUGGACGGUGGCUCUGGUUUCGCACCUGCUGCAAAGAGCUACAGGCAGGGCUGCACAAGGACCAGCACGCUGACAGCACUGGGAGCUUUGGAGUGUGGAGAGGGGCCAAGCAGGAAGCAGAUGGAUCUGGAUUUUGGCCAGUCCAUCCCAUGUAACAUAGCCAUAAAACCUCAAAGCCCCCCUACCUGGCUGUGCCCAGGCUGGCAGCUGACCCAGGACAGUCCUGAAACACAGAGUGAAAGAUGUUCUGGGGACUCAUCUACCCCCAAGGCCCGACAAGAGACCUGCACAGAACAUCACAGCUGACAGAGCCCUGCCUCUGACUGAACCAGCAGCAAACUGCAGUUUAAGGACGUGAAGGCACAAGCUUGUGGAGAAAUCCUACGGAGCAAAUGAAUUACCAGCUCUGAAGGAGUAUAAAAAUUCUGUAAACUCAUAACGCUGCAUGUCAGAAAAGAAAGAUCACCCAAGAAAGCCCAGCCUCAAGGCUAAGAUUGUGCAAUACUGAGAUAAACCCCACGGUGAAAAAGCCAGAAGCAAUUCAUUGUCAUUUAUUCCCUGC
Molecule: long non-coding RNA, 1270 nt
Organism: Chiroxiphia lanceolata (lance-tailed manakin)
Lineage: Eukaryota; Metazoa; Chordata; Aves; Passeriformes; Pipridae
Exons: 3
Source: RefSeq, a predicted model, not a curated record